This 351-nucleotide unclassified non-coding RNA is filed under the name fungal sp. RNAcentral describes it as "partial internal transcribed spacer region". The stretch from base 1 to 46 matches the Rfam family "Eukaryotic small subunit ribosomal RNA", at positions 1786 to 1831 of the family's 1831-position model. The record is from RNAcentral. Lineage: Eukaryota; Fungi.
AAGUCGUAACAAGGUUUCCGUAGGUGAACCUGCGGAAGGAUCAUCAAUAGUUCCAAGAUACACACUUGUGUGUAUCUACCAUACCUUCUUGAGAAUUGUAAUAGAUGUCAAGGACAACUGUGGAAGUUGUGUUGUGGGCUAAAUGGUGGUAGAGAUGUGCUAGUUUUCUAGUAGUUUAUGCCACCAUCCACACACGCAACCACUUGUCGUUAUUCUGUUAUCACAAACACUUAUAAACUAUAAAAGUCUAAUAAAAGUUGUAUGGGAAGAUGUAUGAAUUUAUUCAUAUGUUGACUCAUAUUAUAACACAAUAAUAUAAUACAACUUGCAGCGAUGGAUCUCUAGGCUCUG